Molecule: unclassified non-coding RNA, 229 nt
Filed under: uncultured fungus
Lineage: Eukaryota; Fungi
Description: sequence contains ITS1, 5.8S rRNA gene
Rfam family: 5.8S ribosomal RNA (bases 181-229)
Source: RNAcentral
UCUCCGUUGGUGAACCAGCGGAGGGAUCAUUACAGAAUCGCAAGAUCUCUGAAACCAUUGUGAACAUACCGAAACGUUGCCUCGGCGGGUGCCGGGCCCCCUGGGCCCUGCGCUGAGCCCGCCGGCGGCCCCCCAACUCUGUAUUACUGUUGUCUCUCUGAGCACUAUAAAACAAGUUAAAACUUUCAACAACGGAUCUCUUGGCUCCAGCAUCGAUGAAGAACGCAGC